This 290-nucleotide ribosomal RNA is filed under the name uncultured bacterium. Its description in RNAcentral is "partial 16S ribosomal RNA". It matches the Rfam family "Bacterial small subunit ribosomal RNA", at positions 773 to 1060 of the family's 1533-position model. The record is from RNAcentral.
GUGGAUUAGAUACCCUGGUAGUCCACGCCCUAAACGAUGUCGACUGGUUGUUGGGGGUUUGACACUCUCAGUAACGAAGCUAACGCGUGAAGUCGACCGCCUGGGGAGUACGGCCGCAAGGUUAAAACUCAAAGGAAUUGACGGGGACCCGCACAAGCGGUGGAUUAUGUGGAUUAAUUCGAUGCAACGCGAAAAACCUUACCUACCCUUGACAUGUCCGAGAGCCCGAUGAGAGUUGGGUGUGCCCGAAAGGGAAUCGGAACACAGGUGCUGCACGGUUGUCGCCAGCU